CGGUGGACGGGUGAGUAAUGCCUAGGAAUCUGCCUGGUAGUGGGGGACGAACGUUUCGAAAGGAACGCUAAUACCGCAUACGUCCUACGGGAGAAAGCAGGGACCUUCGGGCCUUGCGCUAUCAGAUGAGCCUAGGUCGGAUUAGCUAGUUGGUGAGGUAAUGGCUCACCAAGGCGACGAUCCGUAACUGGUCUGAGAGGAUGAUCAGUCACACUGGAACUGAGACACGGUCCAGACUCCUACGGGAGGCAGCAGCU
This 257-nucleotide ribosomal RNA is filed under the name uncultured Pseudomonas sp. Its description in RNAcentral is "partial 16S ribosomal RNA". It matches the Rfam family "Bacterial small subunit ribosomal RNA", at positions 96 to 355 of the family's 1533-position model. The record is from RNAcentral. Lineage: Bacteria; Pseudomonadati; Pseudomonadota; Gammaproteobacteria; Pseudomonadales; Pseudomonadaceae.